GAGGGUGCAAGCGUUAUCCGGAUUUAUUGGGUUUAAAGGGUCCGUAGGCGGACUUAUAAGUCAGUGGUGAAAGCCUGUCGCUUAACGAUAGAACUGCCAUUGAUACUGUAAGUCUUGAGUAUAUUUGAGGUAGCUGGAAUAAGUAGUGUAGCGGUGAAAUGCAUAGAUAUUACUUAGAACACCAAUUGCGAAGGCAGGUUACCAAGAUAUAACUGACGCUGAGGGACGAAAGCGUGGGGAGCGAACAGGAUUAGAUACCCUGGUAGUCCACGCCGUAAACGAUGCUAACUCGUUUUUGGGCUUUAGGGUUCAGAGACCAAGCGAAAGUGAUAAGUUAGCCACCUGGGGAGUACGCUCGCAAGAGUGAA
RNAcentral lists this ribosomal RNA (368 nucleotides) under uncultured bacterium. RNAcentral describes it as "bacterial SSU rRNA". It matches the Rfam family "Bacterial small subunit ribosomal RNA", at positions 528 to 898 of the family's 1533-position model. The record is from RNAcentral.